UUAAUUGAAGAGUUUGAUCAUGGCUCAGAUUGAACGCUGGCGGCAGGCCUAACACAUGCAAGUCGAGCGGCAGCGACUUAACUGAACCUUCGGGGAACGUUAAGGGCGGCGAGCGGCGGACGGGUGAGUAAUGCCUGGGAA
RNAcentral lists this ribosomal RNA (141 nucleotides) under Photobacterium damselae. RNAcentral describes it as "partial 16S ribosomal RNA". It matches the Rfam family "Bacterial small subunit ribosomal RNA", at positions 1 to 123 of the family's 1533-position model. The record is from RNAcentral. Lineage: Bacteria; Pseudomonadati; Pseudomonadota; Gammaproteobacteria; Vibrionales; Vibrionaceae.